GGUUGAUUGAUCAUGAUCAUGAUUGAUUGAUUGAUUGAUUGAUUGAUUGAUUGAUUGAUUGAUUGAUUGGUUGGUUGGUUGGUUGGUUGUUGGUUGGUUGGUUGAAAUUCAAACACACAUAAAACUGUUUAAAUAGUGCCAAAACCACAUAAUUUGAUGACCUUGACCUUUGACCUUGUAACCUUCGUCAAGGUCAUUGCUCCACAAGGUCAUUGCAAAAGACCCUAUGGGUCAAGGACCUUUUGUUUAAGAGUUUUGCCUAAAAAUGGCCUUUUUAAAAACCAUCGAUGGGAGUUAUGUCCCUUACAUGAUGGUAAAAUCAAUAUAGUCAUAAUGUAAAAAAAGUUGCCCCUUGAAGUACCAAGCAUUUUUCACUGCUUAAUUUUUUUGUAUCUAUAACCGUUCAAGAGUUAUAGGGAAAUCAAAGACAUAUGAAAAUCUAAAAUAUGACCUUGACCUUUGACCUUGACCUAAUUUUCUAAGUUAGGAAUCAGGGGACUCAAAUAAAAACAUUCCAGGGUUAUACGGUUAACGGUUUAUGAGUUAAAAAAACAUACCGACAAAUUUAUUCCGAAAAGAUAGAUAACUCCUAUAAAAUUUCUUCGAAUCGCUUCGAUCCAAAUACGCCAAAAAUUACUGAGGAUGUAACGAACAAUUUUGUAAAAUAAAUUUGUCAUAAUCUUUAACGGUUGCGAAGGAGAUGCCAUAACAAGGAAAACAGUGUUUGGGGAGAUAACUCCUACAAAGAAAAGUAUUCGUUUACGCAGGGUAAAUUUCAAAAGCGCAUAAACUGUUCGAUAUCAUAUACAAAAUAUCUAAGCGACAUAUUGCGAAACAAAUGUUUAUCGCAAGAACAAAAUUAGGCGGAAGAAAAAAAAAAAAAAUAAUCAGAAGAAAAACAAUAGGUCUUUCCACAGAAAAGUGGAAAGACCUAAUAAUAUGGGAAAAAACUGGAGUUGUCGUUCGUUUUACGUUGAUAGGAUAGAUAGCACACAAACUACAUUCAGUUGUCAGUGGAGGGUAAAAAAAAAGGGGGGGCCAAAAGAGGGUCUCGGAGAGGAUUUUUUUUUUUUUUUUAUAUUAAUGGAACAGAAUGGUUAAAAAGGCCUUUUUACAAUAUAAAUCAAUUGCUUUAAAAAAGCAAUUGUAGGGGGUCUUUCCCCCUGUAAAAUUAAUUGAAUUGGGGGGUGUUUGUUUGUUUGUUUGUUUGUUUGUUUCUGUAUGGGGUCUAUAUUAUUGUUACCGGAGAAGUUUCAUGUUUAGUUUGGAAAGUUUUUCUUUUAUUUUAGGUACAGCGCGCGCGCCACAUCACGUGACACGGGUUUAUAAUAACGAAAAGAUAGUCUUUUUAUUUCUUUUUAGGUCGGGACGUUAAACAGACAACAUCUAUAGAGAUGGAAUGUACACAAUGUAAUUUCUUUUGUCAUUGUAGGAAAUUGACAUUUUGAUCACAGUUCACAAGCAGUGCAUGUUUUGGAUUUAAUUGAUCCGGUGUAACUUUAAAACACAUUUAUUGAUUAUUUUCUGAUAAUGUACAUUUUUCAGCACCUGUUUGUAACACAGAUUAGUAUUUCAAUCUCGGAGCGGACAUU
Molecule: long non-coding RNA, 1592 nt
Filed under: Mytilus galloprovincialis (Mediterranean mussel)
Lineage: Eukaryota; Metazoa; Mollusca; Bivalvia; Mytilida; Mytilidae
Source: RNAcentral